CCUACGGGAGGCAGCAGCAAGGAAUCUUCCCCAAUGGCGGCAACGCUGAGGGAGCAACGCCGCGUGGAGGAUGACGGCCUUCGGGUUGUAAACUCCUUUUCGGUGGGAUGACCCGGACAGUACCACCGGAAUAAGCCCCGGCUAACUCUGUGCCAGCAGCCGCGGUAAGACAGAGGGGGCAAGCGUUGUCCGGAAUUACUGGGCGUAAAGCGCGCGCAGACGGCUUGGGAUGUGCCUGGUGACAGUCCGCCGCUCAACGGCGGGAGGUCUGGGUA
Molecule: ribosomal RNA, 275 nt
Filed under: uncultured bacterium
Lineage: Bacteria
Description: partial 16S ribosomal RNA
Rfam family: Bacterial small subunit ribosomal RNA
Source: RNAcentral